GUUUAUAGAAGGGCGACAGACAUAUUUUCAGGUUGACGGAUAGUUAGCUGGAGUGGAAAUCUGUUGUACCCUACUGUGAGUAGGAGGAGACGGACGUCUUGCUGGCGUGUCAGAGAGGUCCCUUCUGCUGGUCUUGCUGAAGUUAUGUGUUCACGUGGGAGCACGUGGCGAGGAUGACUGUGAGUGCUGCUGCCGCGGCCUGCUGGUAGCCUUGACCCAGUUCCCCCGCUAUCCCCUUGAACUGCCUGGAGGUAUCCACCCGGUUCUUAAAAGAUGGAUGCUGGUUGGUUGGAUCCAGCUGCUCAUCUCUGUACAAAAGCACAUAUUUAUCUCCCAGGUCACUGAUUGGUCAGAUGUUCAGGUUCAAGCUCAGCUGAACGCAGCAUGAAGGUGUCACCCGCCCUCUUCCUCUGAGCACCAGCUUUCUAUUGGUUCAAACACAAUGGCCUCAGACAUCAUUGGUUCAAAAAGCUGAGGGGAAAAGUCCGA
This is a long non-coding RNA of Oreochromis aureus, 489 nucleotides long. NCBI's taxonomy places the organism in Eukaryota, Metazoa, Chordata, Actinopteri, Cichliformes, Cichlidae. The record is from Ensembl.